This 279-nucleotide ribosomal RNA is filed under the name uncultured bacterium. Its description in RNAcentral is "partial 16S ribosomal RNA". It matches the Rfam family "Bacterial small subunit ribosomal RNA", at positions 506 to 784 of the family's 1533-position model. The record is from RNAcentral.
UGCCAGCCGCCGCGGUAAGACGAAGGUGGCAAGCGUUGCUCGGAAUCACUGGGCAUAAAGAGCACGUAGGUGGCGAGAUUAGCGGGGGAUGAAAUCCCAUGGCUCACCCAUGGAACUGUCUCCCGAACUGUCUCGCUUGAGGGUGGGAGGAGGGAGCGGAAUUCCUGGUGUAGCGGUGAAAUGCGUAGAUAUCAGGAGGAACACCGGUGGCGAAAGCGGCUCUCUGGCCCAUUCCUAACACUGAGGUGCGAAAGCUAGGGGAGCAAACAGGAUUAGAUA